CUCUAUUUGGUAUGCCCAUUAAAUCUAGUUGGGGAACAUAAGUACGUCAGUCUUGCAGAGAACGUAAACUUGCUUUUUGACAAUUCACACGCAAAUUAGCGAUAUGCAACCUCGUAUUAUUUACGUUCUCUGAUUUUCACAUUUUCCGAAGGUAGUUUUUUAAUACUGCGACCAAUAAAUUUAUUGACUAGAAAAAUGGCUCAAAAAAGCGUUAACCCGAUUAGCAUUUUAAAAAGUAUCUACCACAGUCUGUGUUGAAGAGUUUAGGAAUUUUCCUGAUUGGAGUUCGUAUGGCUAAGGAAUUUGCCGGAGUGGAAAUAAUGCCGGCGAUAGCUCAACAUUAAUGCUAGUUGUGUUGUUCUUGGUGUAAUCCUCGGGUGAGGAUGCCUAUUUAAUAAUGUAUAAAUCAAUAAAACAAGUUAUGUCAAAAAAACCAAGCGACAUAUGUAUGUAGA
Rhagoletis pomonella (apple maggot) is the source of this 455-nucleotide long non-coding RNA. RefSeq lists it as uncharacterized. NCBI's taxonomy places the organism in Eukaryota, Metazoa, Arthropoda, Insecta, Diptera, Tephritidae. The transcript has 2 exons. The record is from RefSeq and is a predicted model, not a curated record.